Molecule: long non-coding RNA, 778 nt
Organism: Oncorhynchus kisutch (coho salmon)
Lineage: Eukaryota; Metazoa; Chordata; Actinopteri; Salmoniformes; Salmonidae
Exons: 4
Source: RefSeq, a predicted model, not a curated record
CCUCGGGUGAUUCUCACAAGAGAAUCCUUGGAGGGGAACCUUGCAAUGACAAUUAUGCUAAGCACUAUGUAAAACUCGAGGCCACUAGAUUGAGAGGAGCUUCAAAUAAAAUGGAGUCACGAGCCUGUGGUGGCUCUCUUAUUCAUGAGAAAUGGGUCCUUACAGCUGAGCACUGCACUAGCUAUGGGAGUACAAUAACAGCGAUACUGGGUGCACAUCCAGGUGGAACACCUAAACCAGAAGAGGUCCAGAUUCCUGAAGAAAACAUACGACGUUAUAUAGAAAGACAAGUCAGUCAUGACAUCAUGCUGCUGAAGCUGCCUAAGGCAUACCCUCAGUUCACUACCAUUCAGCUUCCUCCCUCUACAUGCCAGACACCUGAGUUGAAGGAGAAUGUGAGAAUUGCAGGCUGGAGUUACACAGAAGAUGGUAGGUAGAAAGCCAGAGAAACUACAGUGUUCAAAAUCAGGAGACCUCCAAGUCACUGAGUGUUACCCCACAGAAGAUGCUCAAACCAAAAUUCAAAUGCGAUUCUGCGCAGCAGCUCCAGGGAAGAUGGACGCCUGCCAUGGGGACUCUGGAGGAAGUCUGAUGAACAAAGAUGGCCUCCUGUAUGGUGUGACCUCACGGGCUAGUAAAACAGAGUGUAAAGUUCCAAUCAACUUCAUGGAUGUUUGCAAGUACCGAGGAUGGAUAAUGGAAGAAAUCAAUAAAGAUAAUUCAUUGAAUAGUGAGUAAACAAAUGAUGUACUCCAAAUAAAAGGUGUUCUCAGAUCUC